AUAAGGGUGAGGUCGGCAGUUCAAAUCUGCCCAGACCUACCAUUACAUGGUUCAGCCGUAGAAUACGGGGCCAUAGCUCAGCUGGGAGAGCGCCUGCCUUGCACGCAGGAGGUCAGCGGUUCGAUCCCGCUUGGCUCCACCACUUGCUUUACCUUGAUCAAACUCAGAAAUGAGCAUUCGCGUCGAAUGUUGAUUUCUGACUUUUGUCAGAUCGUUCUUUAAAAAUUCGGAUAUGUGAUAGAUAUAGACUGAACACCAGUUUCACUGCUGGUGGAUCAGGCUAAGGUAAAGUUUGUGAGUUCUGCUCGAAAGAGCAACGUACGAAUUUUCGGCGAAUGUCGUCUUCACAGUAUAACCAGAUUGCUUGGGGUUAUAUGGUCAAGUGAAGAAGCGCAUACGGUGGAUGCCUUGGCAGUCAAAGGCGAUGAAAGACGAG
Molecule: transfer RNA, 436 nt
Filed under: uncultured Pseudomonas sp.
Lineage: Bacteria; Pseudomonadati; Pseudomonadota; Gammaproteobacteria; Pseudomonadales; Pseudomonadaceae
Description: partial miscellaneous RNA
Rfam family: tRNA (bases 67-139)
Source: RNAcentral